GAUGAACGCUGGCGGCGUGCCUAAUACAUGCAAGUCGAGCGAACAGACGAGGAGCUUGCUCCUCUGACGUUAGCGGCGGACGGGUGAGUAACACGUGGAUAACCUACCUAUAAGACUGGGAUAACUUCGGGAAACCGGAGCUAAUACCGGAUAAUAUAUUGAACCGCAUGGUUCAAUAGUGAAAGACGGUUUUGCUGUCACUUAUAGAUGGAUCCGCGCCGCAUUAGCUAGUUGGUAAGGUAACGGCUUACCAAGGCAACGAUGCGUAGCCGACCUGAGAGGGUGAUCGGCCACACUGGAGCGGAGACACGGUCCAGACUCCUACGGGAGGCAGCAGUAGGGAAUCUUCCGCAAUAGGCGAAAGCCUGGCGGAGCAACGCCGCGUGAGUGAUAAAGGUCUUCGGAACGUAAAACUCUGUUAUUAGGGAAGAACAAAUGUGUACGUAACUAUGCACGUCUUGACGGUACCUAAUCAGAAAGCCACGGCUAACUACGUG
Molecule: ribosomal RNA, 497 nt
Filed under: uncultured bacterium
Lineage: Bacteria
Description: partial 16S ribosomal RNA
Rfam family: Bacterial small subunit ribosomal RNA
Source: RNAcentral